CAGUGAUGCAGCUAACGCAAUAAGCAUCCCGCCUGGGGAGUACGGCCGCAAGGCUAAAACUCAAAGGAAUAGACGGGGACCCGCACAAGCGGUGGAGCAUGUGGUUUAAUUCGAAGAUACGCGAAGAACCUUACCUGGGCUUGACAUCCCGAGAACCCUCCAGAGAUGGAGGGGUGCCCCUUUUGGGGGAGCUCGGUGACAGGUGCUGCACGGCUGUCGUCAGCUCGUGUCGUGAGAUGUUGGGUUAAGUCCCGCAACGAGCGCAACCCUCGCCCUUAGUUGCCAGCACUUCGGGUGGGCACUCUAAGGGGACUGCCCGGGUAACCGGGAGGAAGGUGAGGAUGACGUCAAGUCAUCAUGGCCCUUAUGCCCAGGGCGACACACGUGCUACAAUGGCGCGUACAGAGAGAGGCGAUACCGCGAGGUGGAGCAAAUCUCUAAAGCGCGUCCCAGUUCGGAUCGGAGUCUGCAACUCGACUCCGUGAAGUCGGAAUCGCUAGUAAUCGCGGAUCAGCCAUGCCGCGGUGAAUACGUUCCCGGGUCUUGUACUCACCGCCCGUCACACCAUGGGAGUUGAGCUCACCCGAAGCCGGGGGACCGACCCGUAAGGGAGGACCCUCGUCGACGGUGGGCUCAGCGACUGGGGUGAAGUCGUAACAAGGUA
RNAcentral lists this ribosomal RNA (664 nucleotides) under uncultured bacterium. Its description in RNAcentral is "bacterial SSU rRNA". It matches the Rfam family "Bacterial small subunit ribosomal RNA", at positions 841 to 1498 of the family's 1533-position model. The record is from RNAcentral.